Molecule: transfer RNA, 72 nt
Filed under: Acidobacteriota bacterium
Lineage: Bacteria; Pseudomonadati; Acidobacteriota
Also listed under: 2 other names
Description: Acidobacteria bacterium tRNA-Gly
Rfam family: tRNA
About the family: Transfer RNA (tRNA) molecules are approximately 80 nucleotides in length. Their secondary structure includes four short double-helical elements and three loops (D, anti-codon, and T loops).
Source: RNAcentral
GCGGGCGUAGCUCAGUGGUAGAGCAGCUGCCUUCCAAGCAGCAGGUCGUGGGUUCGAGUCCCAUCGCCCGCU